Molecule: ribosomal RNA, 253 nt
Filed under: uncultured bacterium
Lineage: Bacteria
Description: partial 16S ribosomal RNA
Rfam family: Bacterial small subunit ribosomal RNA
Source: RNAcentral
UACGUAGGGUGCAAGCGUUGUCCGGAAUUAUUGGGCGUAAAGAGCUCGUAGGCGGUUUGUCGCGUCGAAUGUGAAAACCCGGGGCUCAACCCCGGGCCUGCAUCCAAAACUGGCAGGCUAGAGUUCUGGAGGGGGUAGCGGAAUUCCUGGUGUAGCGGUGAAAUGCGUAGAUAUCAGGAGGAACACCGGUGGCGAAGGCGGCUACCUGGACAGAAACUGACGCUGAGGCACGAAAGCUAGGGGAGCAAACAGG